UGCGCAGGCGGAAUAUUAAGUCAGUGGUGAAAUCCUACAGCUCAACUGUAGAACUGCCAUUGAAACUGAUAUUCUUGAGUAUAGUUGUAGUGGGCGGAAUAUAUCAUGUAGCGGUGAAAUGCUUAGAUAUGAUAUAGAACACCGAUCGCGAAGGCAGCUCACUAAACUAUAACUGACGUUCAGGCACGAAAGCGUGGGGAGCAAACAGGAUUAGAUACCCUGGUAGUCC
Molecule: ribosomal RNA, 229 nt
Filed under: uncultured bacterium
Lineage: Bacteria
Description: partial 16S ribosomal RNA
Rfam family: Bacterial small subunit ribosomal RNA
Source: RNAcentral